UGGGGAAUAUUGGACAAUGCGGGAAACCGUGAUCCAGCAAUGCCGCGUGAGUGAUGAAGGCCUUAGGGUUGUAAAGCUCUUUUACCAGGGAUGAUAAUGACAGUACCUGGAGAAUAAGCUCCGGCUAACUCCGUGCCAGCAGCCGCGGUAAUACGGAGGGAGCUAGCGUUGUUCGGAAUUACUGGGCGUAAAGCGCGCGUAGGCGGCUAUUCAAGUCAGGGGUGAAAUCCCGGGGCUCAACCCCGGAACUGCCCUUGAAACUAGGUAGCUAGAAUACUGGAGAGGUGAGUGGAAUUCCGAGUGUAGAGGUGAAAUUCGUAGAUAUUCGGAAGAACACCAGUGGCGAAGGCGACUCACUGGACAGUUAUUGACGCUGAGGUGCGAAAGCUAGGGGAGCGAAAGGGAUUAGAUACCCCCGUAGUCC
RNAcentral lists this ribosomal RNA (424 nucleotides) under uncultured prokaryote. RNAcentral's name for it is "bacterial SSU rRNA". It matches the Rfam family "Bacterial small subunit ribosomal RNA", at positions 355 to 796 of the family's 1533-position model. The record is from RNAcentral.